GUCUCCUCUUCACCAUGCCAUUUCUUGAAAAAGAGGGUAAAUGUUUCUCCUUGCUGCAUUUGUUUAAGAUGAGGUGUGAAAUCAAACACGGGCAAAAAAAAAUAUUUCCCCCUCCCCCAGAUAUGUAUUGUAGUCCUUUACAUGCAAUUAAGUGGUUUUAUAUAUAGUAUCUUGUGACCAUGAACACUUGUAUGAAAUGUAUCAAGUGAAGAAUUGAACAUUAACAGGAUGGCAGAUGUGGCAAUGUUAAUUUAAAUAAAUGCCAUUCCUUAUGUUAUAAGGCUUUAUUUUAUUUAAGACUGUUCAGAUUGUAAAUUCUUCCACUGAAACUUAUAUUACCAUCCAUUAAACCGUUAGGAACAUAAUUUAGGAAAAUCAGAAACCCCUUAAGAAUAUCUCUGAAUAGGGGCAGCUAGGUGGUGCAGCGUAUAGAACAUUGGCCCUGAAGUCAGGAGGACCUCAGUUCAAAUCCAGCCUCAGACCAAACCCUUGACACUUACUAGCUGUGUGACCCCUGGGCAAGUCGCUUAACCCCAUUGCCUAAAAAGGAAAAAAAAAACUGUAAAAAAAAAAGAAUAUCGCUGAAUCGGUACAACUCGAAGUGUGCAAAAUUAUUAGCAGCUUUUUUCCUCUUUGAUUUUUCUCUGUCCAUCAAAAAUGUUUUGUUCAACAAAACAAAAUUUUGUUUUCUGAGAUGUCAUAGAUUAAGAAAAAUCUUUAGUAAGAUAUGUAAAUAACAAUAUUAGGCUAAAAAAUCUAAUUGGAAAAGGUCUGAUCAUGGUAGAUUAAAAUGUGUUUAAUAUGAAAUAUUCGUGUAUUAUAGAAAACAGUGAACCUAUGUUGAUGAAAAAUGAAACACGCCUGCAAAUCUUAAAGAACAAGGAGCAGAGAAAGAGACUUGUUCAUGAAAUUUGUACUUUUUUAGAUAGCAGCCAGUCUGUCCAAGAAAUUGAUGCUUUAAGGACAGAAAACAGGAAAUUAAAAAAUGCGAACUCAAGGCUUCGAUAUAAGACAAAGGAUUGGGCAUUAAAGAAAGAAGAAUAUGAAAAUGAGAUUGAGAGGCUGUCUAGUGAGAUAUCAAAUUAUUUAAAUGCCACCAAUUUUUGGUAUCAAGACACAGAGCUUCUUAAUGAUGAGCAUAAUAAUAUACCAAGGGAACAGGCAAACAAUGUAAGCACUCAGACAGAGGGCGCCCUUGGACCAGUAAAAAGGUACCAAACUAUAAUAAUGCCUGUCUUUUACAUAUGCUACUGA
RNAcentral lists this long non-coding RNA (1254 nucleotides) under Phascolarctos cinereus (koala). RNAcentral describes it as "lncRNA (ENSPCIG00000008772.2)". The record is from RNAcentral. Lineage: Eukaryota; Metazoa; Chordata; Mammalia; Diprotodontia; Phascolarctidae.